UUUAAGUUAAAAUUAUUCAAGCUUUCCAAAUUAAUAUAUAAAAUAAAUGGCGUUGCCAAAUACAAGAAAGGUGAAAGAUACCAAAGGCAUAUUCAAAAUUGGAAAAAUGGAGAAAACAAAAUGACAAUGACAUGUCUUAAAUCGAUAAAAAAAAAGAAGAGAAGACAAACAGUACACAAUACACAACAAAGAUAAUAUUAUCUUUUGAGCAUCACAAGUCCAAUUUAAAACAAUGGAUAAGCUCAUGUACUCUGAAUUAGUCAGACAAGAUCACAGCUGGGAUUACCUUCAUCACAUGCGCAACAUUUUUUUCUCAUUAAGAAUGAAAAUGAGUUUGACAGAAAUAAGUACAAACUUCAAACUUGUACGAAAGUUAUUUAUAGUUUCGGUAUAGUGAUAACAU
RNAcentral lists this long non-coding RNA (403 nucleotides) under Mytilus galloprovincialis (Mediterranean mussel). The record is from RNAcentral. Lineage: Eukaryota; Metazoa; Mollusca; Bivalvia; Mytilida; Mytilidae.